Molecule: transfer RNA, 63 nt
Filed under: Ugyops sp. APL-2018
Lineage: Eukaryota; Metazoa; Arthropoda; Insecta; Hemiptera; Delphacidae
Description: tRNA-Trp
Source: RNAcentral
AAGGAUUUAAGUUAAAAUUAAACUAUUAACCUUCAAAGUUAAAAAUAUAAUAAAUAAGCCUUA